Molecule: ribosomal RNA, 195 nt
Filed under: uncultured eukaryote
Lineage: Eukaryota
Description: partial 18S ribosomal RNA
Rfam family: Eukaryotic small subunit ribosomal RNA
Source: RNAcentral
CACAACCUGGUUGAUCCUGCCAGUAGCAUACGCUUGUCUCAAAGAUUAAGCCAUGCAUGUCUAAGUAUAAACAAAUCUAUACGUGAAACUGCGAAUGGCUCAUUAUAUCAGUUAUAGUUUAUUUGAUGGUCCUUACUACUUGGAUAACCGUAGUAAUUCUAGAGCUAAUACAUGACUCAAAGACCGACUUACGAA